GAUGAACGCUGGCGGUAUGCUUAACACAUGCAAGUCGAACGGUCUUUUCGGAGAUAGUGGCGGACGGGUGAGUAACGCGUAAGAAUCUACCUACAGGUUCGGGACAACAGUUAGAAAUGACUGCUAAUACCGGAUGUGCCUUCGGGUGAAAGUUUUAAUGCCUGUAGAUGAGCUUGCGUCCGAUUAGCUAGAUGGUGGGGUAACGGCCUACCAUGGCGACGAUCGGUAGCUGGUCUGAGAGGAUGACCAGUCACACUGGAACUGAGACACGGUCCAGACUCCUACGGGAGGCAGCAGUGGGGAAUUUUCCGCAAUGGGCGAAAGCCUGACGGAGCAAUACCGCGUGAGGGACGAAGGUCUGUGGAUUGUAAACCUCUUUUGUUGGGGAAGAUAAUGACGGUACCCAACGAAUAAGCAUCGGCUAACUCCGUGCCAGCAGCCGCGGUAAGACGGAGGAUGCAAGCGUUAUCCGGAAAUAUUGGGCGUAAAGCGUACGUAGGCUGUUUCAUAAGUCUGUUGUCAAAGCGCGAGGCUCAACCUUGUAAAGGCAAUGGAAACUGCGAGACUAGAGAGAGAUAGGGGCAGGAGGAAUUCCAGGUGUAGCGGUGAAAUGCGUAGAUAUCUGGAAGAACACCAGUGGCGAAAGCGUCCUGCUGGAUCUCAACUGACGCUGAAGUACGAAAGCUAGGGGAGCGAAUGGGAUUAGAUACCCCAGUAGUCCUAGCCGUAAACGAUGGGUACUAGGUGUUGGUCGUAUCGACCCGAUCAGUGCCGUAGCUAACGCGUUAAGUACCCCGCCUGGGGAGUACGGUCGCAAGAUUGAAACUCAAAGGAAUUGACGGGGGCCCGCACAAGCGGUGGAGUAUGUGGUUUAAUUCGAAGCAACGCGAAGAACCUUACCUAGACUUGACAUCCCUUGCAUAACCCAGAGAUGGGUGAAGUCCUUCGGGACAAGGUGACAGGUGGUGCAUGGUUGUCGUCAGCUCGUGUCGUGAGAUGUUGGGUUAAGUCCCGCAACGAGCGCAACCCUUAUCAUUAGUUGCUACCAUUAAGUUGAGCACUCUAGUGAGACUGCCCGGGUUAACCGGGAGGAAGGUGGGGAUGACGUCAAAUCAUCAUGCCCCUUAUGUCUAGGGCUACACACGUGCUACAAUGGUGAGUACAAAGAGAUGCAAGACCGCAAGGUGGAGCCAAACUCAAAAACUCAUCCCAGUUCGGAUUGUAGGCUGCAACUCGCCUACAUGAAGCCGGAGUUGCUAGUAAUCGCGAAUCAGCAUGUCGCGGUGAAUACGUUCCCGGGCCUUGUACACACCGCCCGUCACACCAUGAGAGUUGGUAACACCCGAAGUCCGUGAGGUAACCAGUAAUGGAGCUAGCGGCCGAAGGUGGGAUCGAUG
RNAcentral lists this ribosomal RNA (1397 nucleotides) under uncultured Antarctic cyanobacterium. RNAcentral describes it as "16S ribosomal RNA". It matches the Rfam family "Bacterial small subunit ribosomal RNA". Lineage: Bacteria; Bacillati; Cyanobacteriota. The record is from RNAcentral.